Long non-coding RNA from Bos taurus (domestic cattle), 1200 nucleotides. Lineage: Eukaryota; Metazoa; Chordata; Mammalia; Artiodactyla; Bovidae. The record is from Ensembl.
AAUCAGCCUUGGAAAAUGGGAAGCAACGGUCCUGUAAAUUCAGCAGGGAGACCUUCCUUCCACUGCCGCAUUCCAGUAGUCUGAACCUGCCUGCCCCCAACCUUCUCAAGUGUGCUCUGCUGGCCACGGGUCUUCUCAACCCCAGCACCGGGGCUAUACACAGCAUACAGACAGAUAUCCUGGGUCUUGGAGUCAGCUGUCCAGAGGAGUCACAUUCAGCUUCAAGUUGCCCCACUGCGCCCCUCCCCUAUAUGCGAAUGAUACGGUGAUCUGCAGAACUGGCCGGCUUCAUCAUGACGUUGCACACAAGCCUGGCCCAGAGCUCGGGGAAGCUGAAGGAGGAAAUCUAGUGGAGUCUGAGUUGCACAGGUCUGGCUGGGUGGCCCAAGGAAGCAAGGUGACCAUCACGUGGAUGUCGUCAGAGGCUGGGGUAAAACUCAGAGGGUUCGAGAGGCUUCAUAGUUGGUGACUCCAGAUUAGUGCUGGCUCUGUGGGAACUGUUGUGCCAUGCUGAGGACAGAGGUGUGAUUUCAUCUUGUCUCCUCCAGGAAGCCCUCCAGCCUGUGGUCUACAUUGCAGUUGGCUUCUGAACCUCGACCUGGGCCUUGCAGGAGCCAUCCUCACUUGCUGACUGCUUCACUCCAAGGUGGAACCUGUCUGAUGCCUCUGCUCCUGGAGAGUCCCAUUGGCCCAGGGCUGAUGGGUGGAGCAGACAUCUAGCCAUGGUUUACAGGACAGUCUGGGGCAAUUAUUGUUGCCCUGGAGUCGGCCUGCACCUUGGAAGGAGUACCUACAAUGUGGAAAUCAGCAAGCGAAUCAGUUCGUGUUGACCCUCUGCCAGUGCACCACCGAUGACAGCUCAGUGCGGACCGCACUAUGUUCUGAAGGAACCGAGCCUGAUUUGGACUUUGGAAUUCUGGAACGGCAAGAGGAAGAGGUGGACUCGGCCUUGCGUGUUUCAGCGUCUCUUCUGGUUUUCUUCCCAUCAGUUCAGUUCAAUUCAUUCAUUCAGUCAUGGCUGACUCUCUGAGAUCCCAUGGACUGCAGCACGUCAGGCUUCCCUGUCCAUCACAAAUUCUCAUGUCCAUCAGGGAAUCGUCCCGACCCAGGGAUCGAACCCAGAUCUCCUGCAUUGCAGGCAGAUUCUUUACUGACUGCACUACGAGAGAAGUCUUUUUCCCCAUAAAGGCUACUGUAAGU